Molecule: ribosomal RNA, 253 nt
Filed under: uncultured bacterium
Lineage: Bacteria
Description: partial 16S ribosomal RNA
Rfam family: Bacterial small subunit ribosomal RNA
Source: RNAcentral
UACGUAGGGUGCGAGCGUUGUCCGGAAUUACUGGGCGUAAAGAGCUCGUAGGUGGUUUGUCGCGUUGUUCGUGAAAACCGGGGGCUUAACCCUCGGCGUGCGGGCGAUACGGGCAGACUUGAGUACUGCAGGGGAGACUGGAAUUCCUGGUGUAGCGGUGGAAUGCGCAGAUAUCAGGAGGAAUACCGGUGGCGAAGGCGGCAUCCUGGACCAUUACUGACGCUGAGGCGCGAAAGCUAGGGGAGCAAACGGG